Dermacentor silvarum is the source of this 287-nucleotide long non-coding RNA. RefSeq lists it as uncharacterized. The record is from RefSeq and is a predicted model, not a curated record. The transcript is spliced from 3 exons. NCBI's taxonomy places the organism in Eukaryota, Metazoa, Arthropoda, Arachnida, Ixodida, Ixodidae.
CCAUCAAGGCAUCGGUGGACGUGUUAGAGAAGAAGACACCGCUCUGUGAGCAUUUACGCGUCAGUAUCUGGGAAGUAAUGAACACCACGCUUGCGCAGUUCCCACCUUGUGCCACCCACAUCAAUUGCAGGAGCGAGCAGGCAAAAAUCCUUGCCAACCUCUCUGUGGUGGCGCUGUUUGAAAACUUGUCGGCGGGGAACUAUUGCGUCCGGGUGACUCCUGUUUGCAGUGCAUACGAGGACUGCCUCACCCUCACUUCGAAGAUUGUUGAGAUGCCUUUAGGUAAG